AGUACCCAAAUAGUUGAUAUGAAAAACAUUUGAAUUUAUGUCUUCCGGUAGAAAUGUCUACUGGGUAGGAUCGCGUUUUGAAAUUUCUUUCCAAGAAUUGGCGUUUUCUUUUCUUGUUUGUUUUUGGUCCGUAUUUGUUCGCUUUUCAUGAACAAUUGGACGGUUGUGUGUAUGUGGGUUUGCGUUGCCAUGGCGGUGGAAAAGUGAGUGUGAUUUUGUUGUCGUUCCCUUCCUACUUCCUAUGGGGGUGGUGAGCUCUCGGUGUUUUUAGGGGUGGCCAUUUUUUCUUGGCUUAUCGUGGUGUUCCUGGGCUGCUUUCUCUCCUCGACGGUUGGUGCAGCUGCAUCAUAUUUUUUUUGGCCUAAGGCGUGGUGGUUCACGUUCUUUAUGUGCAUUUUAUGUCUUUCUUUAUUCUUUUUAUUAAUUGGGUUUCUGUUUUAAUAUUUUUGUAGUUGCUCUUGUAGGUUUUGCAGGUUUUGUCUGAGUUUCUUUUUUUCCCCUUUGUCAAAGAUUGAUAGUGGGAUGACUCGCUCUUGGUGGUUAGGGGAGGAAGUUGUUUUUGGUUCCUUGUGAAGGACCUUAGGUUGAUCUCGUUCCGGUGGAUGAAGCAUCUGGCUUGGUUUUGAUAUGGGCUAUUGGCAGUGGUUCUUCUGUUCGGUCUCCCUUACAGUUUUUCUUUAUCUUGUUUUCUUUUAGCUCUUGUUUUGACUCCAGUUUGUAAAUGGAUUGUUCUUAUUAUUUUGUUCUUGUGUGAUGUUCCUCUUUUGUUCUGGUAGUGUGUUUUGUGAAGUUGCUUGGUUUUGAUUACUUUCCUGUUUAUGUUUUUUAUUGAUGUUGGUUUUUUAGUCCUUUUCUUUCUGUUUUGAGUGAGGGGCUUUCUUCUUCCUUUUCUUCUUGUUUUCUUUGGUGCUGGCCUGUGUGGUUUCUUUGGCUACGGUUGAGGGUGGUGAUCAUUUUGGUUCGUCCUGGUGCCUGCUUGGGCUGUUCUUUCCAACGGUGAGAGUAUUUGGAGCGGGUGGUUUUGCGGGGUGUGGGGAAGACUUUCUUGUUCGCGCGGUCUCCUUUUUUCUGUUUUCUGUUAGGUUUUAUUUUAGUCACAUUUCUCUACUAGUUUUUUUUGUUGUAAAAGGACUUUGAAGGGACUGUUUAAUUUUUUAUUGUGUUUCUUUUCUUCGUGAUUUUAUUUUUUUAUAUGAUCUGCUGGGUGUUUUAAUAAUUUUGCUCAACUGUUUUUCCUGUUAUUGGUUUACUUUUUAUUUUUGGGAUAUUUACAAUUUUAUUUUUUGUAUUAAGGCUUUGUUGCUGGUGUUUUCUUCUGGUGGCGAUGGAAAGUAUUCUGGGUGGUGGGUUGGUUCUCGGAUUGGUGUUUGUCGUUCUUUGUAUGCUACAGGGUCGAGGUACGAUGGUUGAUGAUUUGCAUAAUUUGUUGGCUAAUCUCAAAUUUUUAUAAUCUGAAAAAGAAAAUAUGGUCUGCCAAGGCUUUACUAAAUCAGAUUUGCUGGGAUUUGAAGCAUGGGCUGUUAGAAAGUUUAUGUCCGGGGAAAAGAUUAAUAAAAAAGCAAUGUACUGAGUGCUAAAAUCUCUAUAGUAUACUAAGGAAUCAGAUAAUUUUGUGCCAUUGACGGGUGGUCUUUUCUUGGUGAAAUUUGGUUUGAUUGAUGAUAGGGACAGAAUCCUAAAUUUGGCCCAUUGGAGUUUUGAUCAAAACUUAUUUUCCAUGGUCCCAUUUGUGAAGUGGCAAGAUAUGAGCAGCUACAGUUUCAUUUAUGUGCCUUUUUGGGUUCGUUUUUAUAAUAUCCCAUUGGAAAAAAUGGAUCGCCAUGUGGCUCUUGACGUUGGGAAAGCUAUAUGAGAGGUUGUGGCUAUCGAUUAGAGGGAUAAGGAUGGAUGUUGGUUUGAGUAAAUUAGAGUUUGGGUUAAAAUGGACAUCUUUAAACCGUUGAGGAGGGUGGUUUAUUUGGUUGGGGCCUAUGAUGAAGAGAUCUUGUGUGCUAUCAAAUAUGAACGUCUUCCAACUUUCUGCUAUUUGUGUAGUUGUAUAGGACAUCAUGCUCAUAAAUGUGGUCAGUUUGAGAAGAUUAAAGGGAUUGCAAAUCCAAAAUUUCAAUAUGGGAAUUGGUUAAGGGCCCAAAUUGGGCAACCAAAUGUGGGUAUGGGUAUGUGGCGGAAUGGGAUUGAAACUAUUAUGGUUGGGGAUGAUCAUGAAGGAAAGGGGAAAAGGUCUUGAAGCACAGCUAGAGAGGGUGAUUUUGUGAUGAAGUAGUGGGGGAAGGACAAGACUAGAAUAGAGGACGAAAUCUCGGGUUCUUACUCACCGUUAGGUAAAUGUGUUGGUCAGGAUUUGAGAAAAGGUCUUGGGCAAACCCAGAAUAAGCGUAAACAGAGAAAGAUUGGGAAUGGGGAUGCUAUUGAUGAAAGUCUAGUAAGGAUGGCCUGUAUAAAAUUAUCGGAGGGAAGUUCUCCCUUCAAGGUGGUGGUUGGCGAUCAACCCCUCCCAGAGCUACGAAAAUCUUUUGUUGGAACUGUCGUGGGGGCAAGAACGGUGCGAUAAUUCGCGAGUUGCAGCAACUUCUUGUUGUCAAUGAUCCUGAUAUUGUCUUUUUGAGUGAAACCAAGAUACGUGCAAAUGAGUUUUAGCCUAUUCGGGUUCGAUGGAAAAUGGAUGGUUGCUUUGUUGUGGAUCUAGCUGGUUGUAAAGGGGGUCUUGCCUUAUUAUGGAGGAAUAGGGUAAGCGUGAUUAUUCAAAAUUACUUUGAGCAUCAUGUGGAUUUUAUGGUAAAAAUGUAGGGGAAUGAUCAGAUUUGCUUUGCGGGCUUCUGUGGUCAUCCUGAUCCAAAUUUGAGGCAUGUGUCCUAGAGCACUCUUCUUAGGGUUGGGAUUACGAGUGGGGAUUGGGUGGUGGGGGAUUUCAAUGAAAUUAUGGAUAAUUCAGAGAAAUUUGGUAGGAGGGGUCACCCUAGAGUAUCUCUGGAUAACUUUUGGGAUGUUAUGGAUGAUCUUGCUUUGAUUGAUGUUAAGCCCGAUAAGGGGUGGUUUACAUGGUCUAAUAACCGUGAGGGUAAUAAGGUGGUUAAGAAAAGACUUAACAGAUUCUUGGUUUCGACAUCUUAGUUGGGUCAUGUUUCUUUCUUAUCUGUGUAGGUGUUUCGCCAGACAUGCUCAGAUCAUGAUGCCAUUCUGUUUGAUACUUUGGGUAGGAAACCAAUGGAUGAUAUAAAGGAUUUGAUGCUUUUUUUUCAAUUUGAGGCUUGUUGGGCUAAGGAGGAUGAGGCUAAGGAUUUGAUCAAACAUGUGUGGGAUCAGUGUAAUGGGAAUGUGUUAACUGGAUUUGAUUACAUUUGCCUUCACCUUUAGAAAUGGCUAUUUCGGCAGUUUAAUAAAAGUAAAAAUUGAAUACAGAGUUUAAUUGAUUGGAUUGAUAAACUUAUGGACAGGCUGACACUGGGUUCUAAUAGUGAGAGGUUGAAAGUGUCUCGGGUAGAGUUGGGUCGCUUUUAUGAGGAGGAGGAGCGGUAGUGGGGUUAGAAGUCUUAGAUUCAGUGGCUUAAAGAGGGAGACCGCAACACCUACUUCUUUCAUGUUUAGGCUUCUAGGAGAAAUAAAAGGAACAUGAUUUAGGGUUUGCUUGAUUUUGAGGGUAAUUGGGUUUCCGAUUCUAGAGGGGUCUGUUAAGUGUCUUGGGAUUACUUUCAUUCUCUUUUUAAGAAUGAAGCUUGUGGCAACAUUGAGAGGGCAUUUAAUCUCUCAUUGUAUCACAUCCAAUAUGAAUGGUGCUUUGGAUAGUGACAUGACUGAUAAGGAGCUUGUCGAAACUUUCAACCAGAUGGACCCUUGCAAGGCCCCGGGUAUUAAUGGGCUCUCGAGCCUCUUCUAUAAGGAAAAUUGGGGGAGUUGUUGGUAAGGAUGUGCUCAAGCUUUGUCAUGAGGUUCUAGAUGGGCAUAAAGACAUUAAUGAUAUAAAUGAAACUAUUAUUUUUGUCAUUCUCAAAGUUGAUCAGCCUAAGGAUAUGACUCACUUCCGUCCUAUCAGCCUGUGUAGGGUUAUCUACAAGAUGAUUUCUAAGGUCUUAGCUAAUAGAUUAAAAAAUGCUUUUUCGGUCUGCAUCAGCCAGAACUAGAGUGAUUUUGUGAUGGGGUGUAUGAUUCAUGAUAAUUUCCUCAUCACUCACGAGCUUUUGCAUUCCCACCAGAGUUUUAAAAAUGAGCCGAAUAAAGGGUUUGUGAUCAAGCUCGAUAUGAGUAAAGGUUAUGACCGUGUUGAAUGAGAAUUUUUAGAGAAAGUGAUGAUCCGUAUAGGUUUUUCUGCUUCAUGGGUUACCUUGGUUAUGCAAUGCGUCCGAUUGAUGAGAUAUGUUGUUAAGUGUAAUACGUCCCUCAUGGAUGUGAUUAUUCCCGAGAGAGGGCUUCAUCAGAGAGAUCCGCUUUCGCCCUAUCUUUUCUUGUUUUCUAUGGAAGUGCUCUCUAAGUUGCUUCUGAGGGCCCAGAUGGAUGGGAAGAUUUGGGGGAUUAGGGCCAGUCAGAAUGGGCCUAAGAUUAAUCAUUUUUUUUUUUGCAGAUGAUACUCUCCUUUUUAUCUGUAAUAAAAUGGAGGAGGUUGAGAUUGUUAAGGAUAUCCUCCACUAUUUCGAGACGAUUUUUGGGCAAAAGAUUAAUCCUUCAAAGUCCAUUGUCUACUUCAGUCUUAAUACUCUGAGAGAUCAAUGUAACACCUCUUACCCAUAUUCGACACUGGAAUAGGGUACGAGGCAUUACCGGAGUUUACUAAUUAAUUUUCAGACAUUUCAUUUUUA
Gossypium raimondii (Peruvian cotton) is the source of this 4790-nucleotide long non-coding RNA. RefSeq lists it as uncharacterized. Lineage: Eukaryota; Viridiplantae; Streptophyta; Magnoliopsida; Malvales; Malvaceae. The record is from RefSeq and is a predicted model, not a curated record. The transcript is spliced from 2 exons.